GGGAUUGAUCCACUUAGAUUGUUGAGAGCAGCGGUGAAGACAGUGAGUCUUGAACAAUUCCCUAGCUCCGCAGGAAUUGGUCCAUCCAGUUGGUUCUGUUGCAAAAUCAAGUUCUCAAGCUGGGAGAGUUGUCCGAGUUGGGGAGGUAUUGGGCCCGUGAGACUGCAUGAGGCCAAACCAAGAGUGACCAAGUUUGCAAGAUUACCAAAGGAGGCAGGAAUAGGCCCACUGAGUUCAUUGUCACCGCUUCUCAUGACGCGGAGACUUGUGAGGGAACCGAGCUGAGUUGGAAUGGAACCAGUGAGUUGGUUCGAGAAUAAAAGCAGAGAUUCCAAUGAAAAAAGGUUUGAAAGGGCAGUUGGGAUGGGACCCGUGAGGCUGUUGGAAGAAAGAUCAAGGUGGAGUAGGUUUUGUAGACGACCUAGAGAAGGUGAUAUUAAACCAGAUAGUGACGAGUCAGAUAAGUUUAGACUCAACACUCGCACUGAGUCAUCAACCGAGCUCAAUCCGCAAGUGAUUCCUCUCCAUUUGCAGAAAUUUGGAUUGCUUUCAUUCCAAUGACGCAAAACAUUUUCUGGGUCUUCCACAAAUGAUUUCUUGACCUCUAAAAGGACAGAUAAAUCCUGGUUUUGGCACAUAACGAAACCAAAUGAAAA
RNAcentral lists this unclassified non-coding RNA (656 nucleotides) under Hevea brasiliensis (rubber tree). The record is from RNAcentral. Lineage: Eukaryota; Viridiplantae; Streptophyta; Magnoliopsida; Malpighiales; Euphorbiaceae.